CCUACGGGAGGCAGCAGUGAGGAAUAUUGGUCAAUGGACGCGAGCCUGAACCAGCCAAGUAGCGUGAAGGAUGACUGCCCUAUGGGUUGUAAACUUCUUUUAUAUGGGAAUCAAAUGCACCAUGUAUAGUGUUUUGCAUGUACCAUAUGAAUAAGGAUCGGCUAACUCCGUGCCAGCAGCCGCGGUAAUACGGAGGAUCCGAGCGUUAUCCGGAUUUAUUGGGUUUAAAGGGAGCGUAGGGGGGUUGUUAAGUCAGUUGUGAAAGUUUGCGGCUCAACCGUAACAUUGCAGUUGAAACUGGCAUCCUUGAGUACAGUAGAGGUAGGCGGAAUUCGUGGUGUAGCGGUGAAAUGCUUAGAUAUCACGAAGAACUCCGAUUGCGAAGGCAGCCUGCUGGACUGCAACUGACGCUGAGGCUCGAAAGUGUGGGUAUCGAACAGGAUUAGAUACCCGGGUAGUC
Molecule: ribosomal RNA, 460 nt
Filed under: uncultured bacterium
Lineage: Bacteria
Description: partial 16S ribosomal RNA
Rfam family: Bacterial small subunit ribosomal RNA
Source: RNAcentral